This 478-nucleotide ribosomal RNA is filed under the name uncultured bacterium. RNAcentral's name for it is "partial 16S ribosomal RNA". It matches the Rfam family "Bacterial small subunit ribosomal RNA", at positions 28 to 523 of the family's 1533-position model. The record is from RNAcentral.
GACGAACGCUGGCGGCGUGCUUAACACAUGCAAGUCGAACGGUAAGGCCCUUCGGGGUACACGAGUGGCGAACGGGUGAGUAACACGUGGGUGAUCUGCCCUGCACUUCGGGAUAAGCCUGGGAAACUGGGUCUAAUACCGGAUAGGACCACUGCCUGCAUGGGUGGUGGUGGAAAGCUUUUGCGGUGUGGGAUGGGCCCGCGGCCUAUCAGCUUGUUGGUGGGGUGAUGGCCUACCAAGGCGACGACGGGUAGCCGGCCUGAGAGGGUGACCGGCCACACUGGGACUGAGAUACGGCCCAGACUCCUACGGGAGGCAGCAGUGGGGAAUAUUGCACAAUGGGCGCAAGCCUGAUGCAGUGACGCCGCGUGAGGGAUGACGGCCUUCGGGUUGUAAACCUCUUUCAGCACCGACGAAGCGCAAGUGACGGUAGGUGCAGAAGAAGGACCGGCCAACUACGUGCCAGCCGCCGCCGCAG